UCAGCAACUUUUCCUCUGGACAGGUUUUGAGAAAUCUCCCCCAUAAUGUAGGUGAUUUUAUCUAAACAACAGCACAUUUGUCCUCCUGUUCAUAUAUGUAUGUGGUACACAUCUGAUUUUACCAACUUUGCAUGGAAGUUGGGGUGGAGGAAUGGAGGGGAAACAGAAUCAUAUAGGGAUACAGUUUAGGCAAUGAACACCUUACGCAGCUCUGUACAGGUUAGAACAACGCCAUCUGCAGGCCGCAGACUUGAAUUUGAGUUGACUACUUGGACAAGCUGAGGUCCUGCUGCUGCCCAGAACUGAAGCCAUGGAUGGAGUGCUGCUGAGUGAAAUGCUUGGAGAAUAGUCACCAAAUUGCUCGCGCUAA
Long non-coding RNA from Hyla sarda, 370 nucleotides. RefSeq lists it as uncharacterized. The transcript is spliced from 3 exons. The record is from RefSeq and is a predicted model, not a curated record. Lineage: Eukaryota; Metazoa; Chordata; Amphibia; Anura; Hylidae.